This 450-nucleotide ribosomal RNA is filed under the name uncultured bacterium. Its description in RNAcentral is "partial 16S ribosomal RNA". It matches the Rfam family "Bacterial small subunit ribosomal RNA", at positions 354 to 796 of the family's 1533-position model. The record is from RNAcentral.
GUCGAGAAUAAUUCACAAUGGGGGCAACCCUGAUGGUGCAACGCCGCGUGGAGGAUGAAGGUCUUCGGAUUGUAAACUCCUGUCAUCCGGGAGCAAGACCUGGCCGUGAAUAGCGGACAGGGUUGAUAGUACCGGAAGAGGAAGGGACGGCUAACUUCGUGCCAGCAGCCGCGGUAAUACGAAGGUCCCGAGCGUUGUUCGGAAUCACUGGGCGUAAAGGGAGCGUAGGCGGCGCGGUAAGUCAGAUGUGAAAUCCUAGGGCUCAACCCUGGAACGGCGUCCGAUACGGCUGGGCUUGAGCAAUGGAGAGGUAGCCGGAAUUCUCGGUGUAGCAGUGAAAUGCGUAGAUAGCGAGAGGAACACUCGUGGCGAAAGCGGGCUACUGGACAUUUGCUGACGCUGAGGCUCGAAGGCCGGGGGAGCGAAAGGGAUUAGAUACCCGGGUAGUCC